UGUUAGGUUUUGUAAAAGGGGAAAAGUGAAAGCCCUCGGGAGGAAGGAGGCGCGGCGGAUCGAUUCUUCCGCCGACCCGGAUCCCGCGCACCUCCCGGCAGUGGUGGAAAAGAGAGAAAUGAAUGAGGAAGGAAUAAGAAAAGGCUCUGCCUCUUUAAGUUCCAUGGAAGUCACUUCAGCUGGAGGGAGACAUGCUUGAACAAUGGGAAGAGGUGCAACAACUAUGGCCUCUUCAGCACCAUGUACACUUUUGUGAUCAGAAUUAAGCAUCAGAGCACAGAUCCUGAUAUUUGGAAGACAGGAUCCUUUUGGCCCCUGGCUCCCACAAGCUGUGUGCAAGCUGCUCCAGGAAUGUGCACAGCUGUUGCCACAGGGCUGGUGGUGGAGGGUGGGUAGCUGCUACUGUGCUAAAAGCUGAAAUUAAGCAAAACUAACAGUGUAUGUCCCAGCCUUCCCCUGGAAGGUCCAAGCCUUCAAUAGUCUCCAGACUCCAAAAGAGUUAAUCAGACAUGUUCUGCUAGUACAAUUCUUAUCUUUCAGGGGAGACAAAUUCCUAGGCUUCCAUGUUCCUAAGAAACCUCCCCUAAAAUUGGGUGCUUCCUACUCUGUUACCUUCCCAAGUCCUCUUCUAAUGCUUUUAUGUUUUCACAUGUAUUUCUGUGGGCUAGGGAUUUAGCUCAGUGGUGCCGCUGCCUGCCUCGAAAGCGCAAGGUCCUGAGUUCGAUCCCAGGUACCAAAAAACAAACAAAAAAAUACAUGUAUAUCUGUGAUCCAUUUUGAGUUAAUUUUUAUAUAAAAUGUGAGAUGUAUAUUCAGGUUCAUAAUUUUUUGGUUGUGGAUGUUCAAUUCCAGCACUGUUUGUUGAAGUCUUUCAUUUCAUUUCUCCAUUAAAUUUUCUUCCUGUCUAAAAUUCAAAUGACCAUACUUGCAUAGACCUCUUUAUUCUGUUCUGUUGAUCUGUGUGUCUGUCCAUCCUUUCAACAAUACCAAUACUGUAACUAUAUAGUAAAUUUUAAACUAAGUGGUAUCAUUCCUUUGAGUUUUUUCUUACUUUUUAAAAAUUAUUAUAGGUAGUCUAGUUUUUUUUGCCUUUUUAUAUAAAUUUCAAAAUCAGAUUUUCUAGUUCUACCAAAAAAAAAAAAUCCUCAGCCGGGGAUUUAGCUCAGUGGUUCCGUCGCCUGCCUUGCAAGAGUAAGGCCCCAAGUUCGAUCCCCGAUACCAAAUAAAUAAAUAAAUAAAUAGAACUCCUAUAAGCUGAUCUGCUUGUGCAUUGCCAUACAAAAGUGGUCCAGGAAGAUUGGUAUGUGAUCAAAUAUUUCCAAUACAAAAAAAAAAAAUCCUCUUGGGGGCUGUGGAUAUAGCUGAGUGGUAGGGCAUGGCAUGUACAAGGCCUUGAAUUUGAUCUCCAGCACAACACAGGGAAAAAAAUCCUGCUGAGAUUUUUAUUGGAAAUGCAUUAAUUCAAUUCAGGGAAAAAUGACAUUUUUAUUACAUUGAGUCUUCUAAUCUAUGAACAUGAUAUGUCUUUAUUUAGGCCUUCUUUGAUGAUUUGGGGGAGAAUGACCCCAGGGCCUCGUGCAUUUUAAGCACAGACUCUGCAACUGAGCUAAAACCCCAGCCCCUCUUUGAUUUCUUUAGUCAGUGUUUUAUAGCUUUUAGUAUUUAGAGUUUAUAUAUAGUAUUAGGUUUAUACCUCAUAUUUCCUAUUUUUAGGAACUAUUUUUUUUAACCCAGGGCCUUUGCACUGAGUUACAUCCCUAGCCUUUAAAAAAAAUUAUUUUGAAUCAAGAUUUUGCCAAAUUAGUAAAUUGCUCAAGCUGGGCUGGAAUUUGCAGUCCUCCUGCCUCAGCCUCCGAGAAUGCUGUGAUUUCAGUCAUGUGCUACGACACCCAGCAUACUAUAAUUUUUUUUUUAAUCUUGGUUUCCAAUUGUUCAUUUUUGAGUUUAUAGAAAUACAGUUGAUUAUUGUCUUUUGUCUCCUUUGAUCUUAUAAGAGCCACUUAAGUUGUAUAAGGGCCUUUUGGUAGAUUCCUUGGGAAUUUUUUUUUUUUUGGUACUGGGGAUCGAACUCGGGACCUUGCGCUUGUGAGGCAGGCGCCGGAACCACUGAGCUAAAUAUCCAGCCCUCCUUGGGAAUUUUGAUGUUGUUAUUUUUAACGUAGACAAGUAUGUUAUCUGCAAACAGAUAUAACUUAAUUUCUUUUUAACUUUAUUCAUUAUGGAUGUUGAAUAAGUAUAGUAAGUAAAUGCCCUCUCUGUUCCCAGU
Molecule: long non-coding RNA, 2266 nt
Organism: Heterocephalus glaber (naked mole-rat)
Lineage: Eukaryota; Metazoa; Chordata; Mammalia; Rodentia; Bathyergidae
Source: RefSeq, a predicted model, not a curated record